GAACUCGAACAUUUCAGUAACAGUUCGUGUUCGAGUUCGGUGUUCGGCGAUUUAAUGGCGUGUUUUGAAAAGCUGCAGGGCAGCCAAUCAACAAGCGUUUGACUUGUGUGCCCUUAGAAGCCAUCACAGCCAUGCCUACUAAUGGCAUGGCUGUGAUUGGCCAGUGCAGCAUGUGACCCAGCCUCUAUAUAAGCUGGAGUCACAUGAGCUCUUAUUGGUGUAGGGAGAGGAUGCUGCAGCUGUGAGGGACAGAUUAGGAAAGAAUUCUG
Non-coding RNA from Pelobates cultripes (western spadefoot toad), 269 nucleotides. The record is from the annotation of a GenBank genome assembly. NCBI's taxonomy places the organism in Eukaryota, Metazoa, Chordata, Amphibia, Anura, Pelobatidae.